RNAcentral lists this ribosomal RNA (473 nucleotides) under uncultured bacterium. RNAcentral's name for it is "partial 16S ribosomal RNA". It matches the Rfam family "Bacterial small subunit ribosomal RNA", at positions 28 to 507 of the family's 1533-position model. The record is from RNAcentral.
GGUGAACGCUGGCGGCGUGCCUAAGACAUGCAAGUCGAGCGGGCCGCGGGUUUUUACUCCGUGGUCAGCGGCGGCCGGGUGAGUAACGCGUGGGUGACCUACCCGGAAGAGGGGGACAACCCGGGGAAACUCCGGCUAAUCCCCCAUGUGGACCCGCCCCUUGGGGUGUUUCCAAAGGGCUUUGCCCGCUUCCGGAUGGGCGCGCGGCCCAUCAGCUAGUUGGUGGGGUGGUGGCCCACCAAGGCGACGACGGGUAGGCGGCCGGGGAGGGUGGCGGGCGAGAGGGGCACUGAGAGACGGGCGACACGCCUACGGGAGGCAGGGGAUAGGAAACUGCCGCAAUUGGCGCAAGCCUGGCGGGGCGACGCCGCUAGGAGGAAGAAGCCGUUCGGGGUGUAAACUCCUGAACCCGGGACGAAACGCCCGACGAGGGGACUGACGGUAACGGGGUAAUAGCGACGGCCAACUCAGUG